Oncorhynchus tshawytscha (Chinook salmon) is the source of this 4119-nucleotide long non-coding RNA. NCBI's taxonomy places the organism in Eukaryota, Metazoa, Chordata, Actinopteri, Salmoniformes, Salmonidae. The record is from Ensembl.
CCCUCUAUCCCUCCAGUCAGUUGUCUCCCCCUCUCCCCUCUAUCCCUCCAGUCAGUUGUCUCUCCCUCUCCCCUCUAUCCCUCCAGUCAGUUGUCUCUCCCUCUCCCCUCUAUCCCUCCAGUCAGUUGUCUCCCCCUCUCCCCUCUAUCCCUCUAGUCAGUUGUCUCUCCCUCUCACUUGUAUCCUAUUUGUAUCAGAUUAGCCUUCCCAUCUAGCCUGCUCCCAGAUAUGUCUGAGCUCCAUUGCUGUUCAAGCCAAAGUGUCAAUGAGACACAGGGAGCUGGGCAUGAUAACACAAACAGACUGGCAGUCAGGCUACUUCCCACCUGUCUAUGUAUCCCAGUCUCACCCAGGUCUCCACAAGUCUCCCCCAGUCUCUCUCACAAGUCUCUCCCAGUCUCUCUCCCAAGUCUCUCCCAGUCUCUCUCCCAAGUCUCCCCAUGUCUCUCGCCCAAGUAUCCACCAGUCUCUCUCCCAAGUCUCCCCCAGUCUCUCUCCCAAGUCUCCCCCAGUCUCUCUCCCAAGUCUCUCCCAAGUCUCCCCAGUCUCUCUCCCAAGUCUCUCCCAGUCUCUCUCCACAAGUCUCCCCCAGUCUCUCUCCCAGUCUCUCUCCCAGUCUCUCUCCCAGUCUCUCUCCCAAGUCUCUCCCAGUCUCUCUCCCAAUCUCUCCCCAGUCUCUCUCCCAAGUCUCCCCUAGUCUCUUUCCCAAGUCUCCCUAGUCUCUCUCCCAGUCUCUCUCCCAGUCUCUCUCCCAGUCUCUCUCCCAGUCUCUCUCCCAGUCUCUCUCCCAAUCUCUCUCCCAAGUCUCCCCCAGUCUCUCUCCCAAGUCUCCCUAGUCUCUCUCACAAGUCUCCCCCGUCUCUCUCCCAGUCUCCCUAGUCUCUCUCCUAAGUCUCCCUAGUCUCUCUCCCAAGUCUCCCCCAGUCUCUCUCCCAAGUCUCCCCAGUCUCUCUCCCAAGUCUCCCUAGUCUCUCUCCCAAGUCUCCCCCAGUCUCUCUGCCAAGUCUCCCCAGUCUCUCUCCCAAUCUCUCUCCCAGUCUCUCUGCCAAGUCUCCCCAGUCUCUCUCCCAAGUCUCCCCCAGUCUCUCUCCCAAGUCUCCCCAGUCUCUCUCCCAAGUCUCCCCCAGUCUCUCUCCCAGUCUCUCUGCCAAGUCUCCCCCAGUCUCUCUCCCAAGUCUCCCCCAGUCCUACCCCAGUUUUCCACAUAUCCCACCAUGUUCUAGCAAACACCCUCCAGACCUCUCAGCUUGCUUCCUAGCACAAACAUUGAACCUUUCUUUGGCCCAAUAUCGUUCCUGCUACCCACCUACCCCCUCCCCCACCCCCUGUAGCCUGUUCUGUUAACUCACAAACUCACUAGCUAGCCCUAACAUACAGUAGCACCUUCUCUGUCUGUUAUACCUGCCCUGAGAGCCCCAAAGAAUCUCAGAAUUUAUGACAGAUAACUCGAUGAUAUUUUUCUAAUAAUUUUAUUUCCUGUUUUUGAGAUGGUUACUACAGAUUUUUGAUACAGGGGUGCUGGUGUUUACUGCCCUGCCAUAUUGUACUCGUUUAUCACACACGAUGCGACAGGAUCCUCCAAGACACUAUUCAAUUCUUAUAUCCUAUAAAUAAAACAACCACAUGUAUAUUUUACAGCAAUCAAUUUAUCAUUGUGACGAUAGCAGAGGAACAUAGUAAAAAUGAUGGCAUGACUUCGUACAGAUGGCAGUAGUGCUUGCAGUGUGGUGCUUUGAAUAGUUUUGUAAAUCUUCGAGAGGAUGCGGCCAUUAGAGUAGAGCUAGCUUCAAGAUGUGAUGAAUGAAUGAUUGUGAGAAAAAGGGGUAAGAGAAAAUUUGCCACACAGCAUGUGGAAAAAAGGUUGUAAGUUCAGGAGCCUCUGAAAUAGAAAACUCCGUCUGUCCAGAGUGUAUAUAGAAAACAAUUUGCCAUUCUGCUCAUAAUCAUGACUGAGCUAGAUCAGGUAUUUUCUGAAAACACAGAGUUUGCAAAAUAAUUUUAACAUUCCCAAUCAUCUCAGGUUUUCUAGAAAUACUGAUCGGAGGAUUCACAAAUUUCUUCUGAUCCCAGGAAUCUUCCUACCAGGAUUUCCAGAAAUGCUGGGAAUUUAGGGAGUUACUGGGAGAUUUCACGCCAGGAUAGACCAAAAAUAUUUUGGGCUUCUCAGAUUGUUCUUGCAAUUCUCAAAUAAAAACUUAAUUGGAGGAAGGAUGUUUGACAUGCUUUUAUCAUUUGAAUAACUUUUUAGACCUUCAUGCCUCCUGUAAGACCCUAUGACCUGUGACCUGUGACCUGUGAAACGCACUCGAUACAGACAACACCUUGGUGUCAUCAUACUCCUCAUAGUGUGCUGUAGCAUAUAGAGGUUGUCUAGAUUCUGAAAUACAAUUUGUCACAUUCAUUUAUUCAACAUUAAACAUAUGAAUAUCCUUUUAGAUUUUGUUUAUUUUAAGACAUAUUGUUUGGGACAAUAUAAUCACAUUUCCAGAGUGGGCUCUCUGCAAAUGUUUAAGUUCUGCUAUAUUUUAUGAGCAUCAACAACACAGUGAAUGGGAAAAUGUAUUCUGCUGGUGAUUUGCUGAAUGUGCAAUCCUAAAGGAGGGCUGUGAUUGGUUAAUGACCUAUGAUGUCAAAUUCUAUAUAUAAAAUGGGUCAUAUCUUCAAAAGUACCAGAGAGCCACUCUGGAAAUGUCACGUGUUUGAAAAGUAUAUUGUUCCUAACUAUAUGGCUAAAAAUAAUUUUAAUAAAAAUAUAUAAACUUUUGAGAUAUUAACAUGUAUUUUUGUAUGUUUUAGAGCACACAAGGAGUAUAAUGACACAAAGACCAUGUAAGGUUCACAGAUUACAGACAUGUAUAUAUUUUUUAAUGGCCUAUAAUGACCUAUUUCAUCGCUAUUUAAAAAUAAAUUGUGAUACAAAUGUGAAAAGCAUGUGAAGCAUCCGUUCUCCCAAUGAUGUUUCUAUUUGAGAAUUGGCAGAAGAAUCUGAGAUAACAAAAAUCUUGGCAUGGAAUCGCCCUACUAGAAUUUUGCAAGCCUACACAGAACAUUAUGGAAUAUUCAAAUAACACCGUACGCUGGCCUUUUCAUGGUAUUUACCAUGGUCUUUUCAUGCUUCUUAUUUUGUGUAGAUUAAAGGGGAAUUUUUUUAAUAAUUGUGGAAAAAAAUAGGUUGUUGAUAUGAAAAAUAUAAAAAAAGAAGACAUGGAUGGAUGAAUUGAUUGAAAGAAUAUGUUUAUGGAUGGAUUGAUGCUGCCACUGACUGUGGUACAGCACAGCCUGCAUUGGGACAAUAAGCCUACUGCUCCAAACAAGAAACAGAGAGAGAAGGAAACUACAUCUUAGAAAAGCAAGAAGGAACAGGACUUCGAGGACGCAACAACAGCCAGAGAGAGAGACUCACACUAUGGACUAAACUAUCCGUCGGGUGGUAAAAUCUCUGGUUCUCACUAUCACUUAGAAAUAUGUCUCUUUUUAGUACGGUUCCCUAGUUACCAGGUAUUUACUUAUGUAUUCAAAGAGAAUUGAACAAAAUAACUGUGGUAAAAUGGCUGUAAUGAAAAAAAAAAAAUUUUUAAAAGGAAAAUGUUUUAUUUGUUAUAAUUUGCUUCAAUUAUACUUUAUGGUAUGAUAUGGUAUGAUAUGGUAUGAUAUGGUAUGAUAUGGUAUGAUAUGGUAUGAUAUGGUACACCAGGAAUCGUACAUGCAGACAGAGCACAUGAACUCACUUUUCCUUUAAUCAGAAAAAUAUUCAUUUUUUUAACUUCUGCAGUUAUGUUUUUAACCAAUACAACUAUAAGUAGUUCUGUUACUGAAACACUUUUUAUUGUUUUGCAAAAAAUAAAUAAAUAAAAUAUACUAGAAAUGUAUAUUAAAAUAAGUAUGUUAUUAUAUAUGGGAUUUUGGCAUUCACUAUCUAAGAUUGUUUACUCUAUGGAACUCCAAGGCAUUUUUGUUUCUUUCUCUUUGUAAAACACUUACUGUCAUGAUAAGAUACUGUACAAUAUGUACAGUGGGGAGAACAAGUAUUUGAUACCCUGCCGAAUUUGCAGGUUUUCCUACUUACAAAGCAUGUAGAGGUCUGUAAUUUUUUAUUAUAGGUACACUUCAACUGUGAGA